RNAcentral lists this ribosomal RNA (468 nucleotides) under uncultured bacterium. RNAcentral's name for it is "partial 16S ribosomal RNA". It matches the Rfam family "Bacterial small subunit ribosomal RNA", at positions 28 to 507 of the family's 1533-position model. The record is from RNAcentral.
GACGAACGCUGGCGGCGUGCUUAACACAUGCAAGUCGAACGGAAAGGCCCUGCUUUUGUGGGGUGCUCGAGUGGCGAACGGGUGAGUAACACGUGAGUAACCUGCCCUUGACUUUGGGAUAACUUCAGGAAACUGGGGCUAAUACCGGAUAGGAGCUCCUGCUGCAUGGUGGGGGUUGGAAAGUUUCGUCGGUUGGGGAUGGACUCGCGGCUUAUCAGCUUGUUGGUGGGGUAGUGGCUUACCAAGGCUUUGACGGGUAGCCGGCCUGAGAGGGUGACCGGCCACAUGGGGACUGAGAUACGGCCCAGACUCCUACGGGAGGCAGCAGUGGGGAAUAUUGCACAAUGGGCGGAAGCCUGAUGCAGCAACGCCGCGUGCGGGAUGACGGCCUUCGGGUUGUAAACCUCUUUCGCCUGUGACGAAGCGUGAGUGACGGUAAUGGGUAAAGAAGCACCGGCUAACUACGUG